Long non-coding RNA from Phasianus colchicus (ring-necked pheasant), 1551 nucleotides. The record is from Ensembl. Lineage: Eukaryota; Metazoa; Chordata; Aves; Galliformes; Phasianidae.
AGGACAGAGGGAUGGAUAGAGGGAGGAAUGGAUGUAAGGAGGAAUGGAUGGAGGGAGGGAUGGAUGGAUGUAAGGAGAGGUGGGUGGAUGGAGGGAGGGAGGGAGGGAGGGAGGAAUAGAGGGAGGGAGGGAUGGAUGGAUGCAUGGAAGGAUGGAUGAAUGGAGGGAUGGACAGAUGGAUGGGGGUAUGGAUGGAUGGAUGGACAGACGGAUGGACGGACGGAGGGACGGCAGGAUGGAGAUACAGACGGCCACCCAUACAGCCGGUGCUGAGGACGCAGGCCGUGGUGUCCCCUGCACACACAGCGCUGCUCUGCCCCCCCUCCCAUCCCCCCCCCCCAGCUGACAGCAGCUCCUCGCUAAUUACCGCCCCUUUAAUCCAAUCAAGGCUCCCUCGACCCGCCGAGGCCGAGGCAGCCCUUAAUUACCUCAUCUUUCCUAUCGGCCUAACGAGGGGCAACGGGAAGGAAACACUUCUGGGAUCUCUGUCUGCUCCCAGAUGUCGUUUGGCUCCGCGUUGCUGACACUUGUUGUGCACGCACGGGGCCGUUUGCACGGGGCUGUUUGCACGGAGCACUUUGCACGGAGCACUUUGCACAGGGCUGUUUGCACGGGGUUGUUUGCAUGCAGCUGUUUGCACGGAGCUGUCGUUUAAAUGGAGCUGUUUGCACAGAGCAGCAUGCACAGGGCUGUUGCACGGAGCUGUUUGCACGGAUAGCAUGCACACAGCUGUUGCACGGAGCAGUUUGCACAGGGCCACUUACACAGGCCUGUUGCACGGGGCUGUUGCACAGGCAGCAUGCAUGGGGCUGCUGCACAAGGCUGUCUGCACAAGGCUGCUGUUUGCACGGGGCUGUUGCACGGGGGUGCUGUUUGCACGGGGUCAUUUGCACGAGGCUGCUGUUUGCACAAGGCCGUUUGCACAAGGCUGCUGUACAAGGCUGCUGUUUGCACAGGGCUGUUGCACAGUGCUGCUGUUUGCACAGGGUCGUUUGCACAAGGCUGUUUGCUCAGGGCCAUUUGCACAAAGCUGCCCUUUGCACAAGGCUGUUUGAACAAGGCUGCACAGAGCCAUUUGCACAAGGUUGCUGUUUUUGCACAGGGCUGCCGUUUGCACAAAGCCAUUUGCACAAGGCUGUUUGCACAGGGCUGUUUGCACAGGGCUGCCGUUUGCACAAGGCCGUUUGCACAAGGCUGCCGUUUGCACAACACCAUUUUGCACAAGGCUGCCUUUUGCAUGAGGCUGUUUGCACAGAGCCAUUUGCACAGCGCUGCCGUUUGCACGAGGCCGUUUGCACGAGGCUGCUGUUAGCACAGGGCCGUUUGCACGAGGCUGCCGUUUGCACGAGGCCGUUUGCACGCCGCCCCACGUCCCCAUGCCCGGAGUGGGGCCGCAGCCAAGCUCCCUUCCUGUUGACGUCCCGCUGUCAGCGCGGCUCAAGGACUUCCCGGCACGGAACAUCGCGGCCCCGCCGGCGUCCACCCCACCCCACAGCCCAUACAGGGGUCAUGGCCCCACGCAGCCCUAUAACCACAUCCUAUAUCCUAUAG